GAUGAACGCUGGCGGCGUGCCUAAUACAUGCAAGUCGAGCGAACAGACGAGGAGCUUGCUCCUCUGACGUUAGCGGCGGACGGGUGAGUAACACGUGGAUAACCUACCUAUAAGACUGGGAUAACUUCGGGAAACCGGAGCUAAUACCGGAUAAUAUAUUGAACCGCAUGGUUCAAUAGUGAAAGACGGUUUUGCUGUCACUUAUAGAUGGAUCCGCGCCGCAUUAGCUAGUUGGUAAGGUAACGGCUUACCAAGGCAACGAUGCGUAGCCGACCUGAGAGGGUGAUCGGCCACACUGGAACUGAGACACGGUCCAGACUGCUACGGGAGGCAGCAGUAGGGAAUCUUCCGCAAUGGGCGAAAGCCUGACGGAGCAACGCCGCGUGAGUGAUGAAGGUCUUCGGAUCGUAAAACUCUGUUAUUAGGGAAGAACAAAUGUGUAAGUAACUAUGCACGUCUUGACGGUACCUAAUCAGGAAGCCACGGCUAACUACGUG
RNAcentral lists this ribosomal RNA (497 nucleotides) under uncultured bacterium. RNAcentral's name for it is "partial 16S ribosomal RNA". It matches the Rfam family "Bacterial small subunit ribosomal RNA", at positions 28 to 507 of the family's 1533-position model. The record is from RNAcentral.